This 512-nucleotide ribosomal RNA is filed under the name uncultured bacterium. Its description in RNAcentral is "partial 16S ribosomal RNA". It matches the Rfam family "Bacterial small subunit ribosomal RNA", at positions 29 to 523 of the family's 1533-position model. The record is from RNAcentral.
AACGAACGUUAGCGGCGCGCCUAACACAUGCAAGUCGAACGCGACUGGGGGCAACUCCAGUUGAGUGGCGCACGGGUGAGUAACACGUAGGUAAUCUCCCCUCGAGUGGUGGAUAACCUUCCGAAAGGAGGGCUAAUACAGCAUAAGACCACGGCCUCGAAAGAGGCUGAGAUCAAAGCGGAGGAUCGCAAGACUUCGCGCUUGAGGAUGAGCCUGCGGCCCAUCAGGUAGUUGGCGGAGUAACAGCCCACCAAGCCUAAGACGGGUAGCUGGUCUGAGAGGAUGAUCAGCCACACUGGAACUGAGACACGGUCCAGACUCCUACGGGAGGCAGCAGUGGGGAAUCUUGCGCAAUGGACGAAAGUCUGACGCAGCGACGCCGCGUGGGUGAUGAAGGCCUUCGGGUUGUAAAGCCCUGUGGGGAGGGACGAAUAAGUUGCAGCUAAUACCUGCAGCGAUGACGGUACCUCCUUAGCAAACACCGGCUAACUCUGUGCCAGCAGCCGCCGUAA